This 305-nucleotide ribosomal RNA is filed under the name Dipsastraea favus. Its description in RNAcentral is "partial 28S rRNA". It matches the Rfam family "Eukaryotic large subunit ribosomal RNA", at positions 43 to 343 of the family's 3401-position model. Lineage: Eukaryota; Metazoa; Cnidaria; Anthozoa; Scleractinia; Merulinidae. The record is from RNAcentral. RNAcentral also lists the same sequence under 1 other name.
UUAAUAAGCGGAGGAAAAGAAACUAACAAGGAUUCCCUCAGUAACGGCGAGUGAAGCGGGAAGAGCUCAAAUUUGAAAUCUCCGGUGCUUGCAUCGGCGAGUUGUAGUUGCGAGAAGCACUUUCUAGGUGGAUCGGCGGUGCCUAAGUUGCUUGGAACAGCACGUCGCAGAGGGUGACAACCCCGUCUGUGGCGCCGCCGGCCGCUGACGAUGUGCUUUCGAAGAGUCGGGUUGUUUGGGAAUGCAGCCCAAAAUGGGUGGUAAACUCCAUCUAAAGCUAAAUACUGGCGUGAGACCGAUAGCGA